Molecule: long non-coding RNA, 1675 nt
Organism: Gallus gallus (chicken)
Lineage: Eukaryota; Metazoa; Chordata; Aves; Galliformes; Phasianidae
Source: Ensembl
GUUUUUCUUAAAUUUUUUCUGCAUAAAACAUAGCAACCUCUGACCUAUCACACUGUAACCUCAGAACUCUAAUCUAAAACUUGCAACUAAAGUGUUUUUGUUUGCUUUUUUUUUUUAAACACACAGUUAAGAUACUAUAAAAAUAAAAGAUUAACUUAGAGCGUUAAGAAAUACAGACUGAAAUCCUGUACAUCUCUCACUACCUCACAUCAACAGCCAAUUUGGGUCCAUCAUGCCAGCUUCAGAGAGGGACAAUUACCUCUCUGUCUUCUCUAAGAAAAACAGAUCAUACGAGUGAUUUUCUUCCGAAACCUUCAAAAAAUUUGAUUGUUGAUCAUGAGUACACCUGUACAGACGAAGUACACAUCCUCCUGAUAAGACCUGGCACAUUUACAAGCACGUAAGUAUUGUCUUCUCUAAAACAAUAAGCUAUUUAUUUCCAAUGUUUUAUUUUUACAUUUAUCUCUAAACUACUCAUGCAUAGGAAAGUUUCCUUGCUUUACAUUGAGAAUCACACUUAACAGCAGUACAGUUUUCUUAUUACUGAACACUAAUUUAAUGCUUGAUAAAUGCAUGUUAAGAAUUCAGUCAAUAAGCAGAUCUAUUAAUUUCUUGAAACAUCUUUCCCUCUAUCUUCAAAAUAACUGAUUUGUAUUGUACAGAGUGUAUUUCACAGAAUCAUAGAACGGCACAGGUUGCAAGGAACCUUAAACAUCAUCACGUUCCAAGCUCCCUGACAUGGACAGGAUUGCCAGCCACAGGAUCAGGCUGCUCAGGGCCUCAUCCAACCUGGCCUUGAAUGCCUCCAGGGAUGGGGCAUCCACAUCUUACCUGUGCAGCCUGUUCCAGCACCUCACCACUCUCUCUGCUCACGUCUAUUGAGGUCAAGUCCAGGAUUGAGAAGUAAGAGACAAAAAGAAACGUAUAAACAUUUCCUUGCAUCAAAGCUGGAGCACAGCCCAAGCAAUUCAGCAAGUGAGAUCUCAGCUACUUCCACAGCCAAAUGGAGCAAUUUCACUCAAUCUGAAGAGCUCAGUCCUCCCCUACCAAGUGAAAUCCCCUCGAAAAUUCACAAUUGGCUGUUUUUAGUCGGUGUUAAAGCACCUUGCCUUAUAACAACAACCCAAGUACUAAUCCAUUAAAAGGAGAUUUAUCAAAUCAAGCGGCUCAAUUUACUUUCAAAAAUCUAGUUCUCCCUCAGUUUUGGUUUUUUUUUUUUCUUUUGCAUGUGUGUGCAUAAUAACAACUCUCCUCACUAAUAGCUGCUCCGUUGACUCAAUAUUUUGAGCAGCUUAAUUUCAGCCCCAGGAUUUCUGGACCAGAGCCACCAGAUUUUCUAAGUGCUGAGCCUUCAUUGUCUUCCAUUUAUAGACACAAGUACCAUGUAAGACAUUUUCAUCAAUUUUACGUGAUUUGUUUUAUUGAAAAGCCUGGAGUCUUCUGACGUGAUUGAUUUCCUGAAUUAUGUGCGUGCUGUAACUAUUUAUUAUUCUUUAAAAAAAUAAAAUUCCUAAGCCUCUUGUGCUCCUCAAGGUGAGUUGUUGCAUGUGUUUGCCCAGGUGGAAGGUUACCACGGCUACCUGACAUGGCUGAGCAGUACUUCACCUUUGAUUUGUCAAGUUCAGCUUGACAAAUCAAUUUGUUUUUAAUACUGACUGAUUUUCUACAAUACAAC